This 87-nucleotide transfer RNA is filed under the name Chloroflexota bacterium. Its description in RNAcentral is "Chloroflexi bacterium tRNA-Leu". It matches the Rfam family "tRNA". From Rfam's summary of the family: Transfer RNA (tRNA) molecules are approximately 80 nucleotides in length. Their secondary structure includes four short double-helical elements and three loops (D, anti-codon, and T loops). Further hydrogen bonds mediate the characteristic L-shaped molecular structure. tRNAs have two regions of fundamental functional importance: the anti-codon, which is responsible for specific mRNA codon recognition, and the 3' end, to which the tRNAs corresponding amino acid is attached (by aminoacyl-tRNA synthetases). tRNAs cope with the degeneracy of the genetic code in two manners: having more than one tRNA (with a specific anti-codon) for a particular amino acid; and 'wobble' base-pairing, i.e. permitting non-standard base-pairing at the 3rd anti-codon position. The record is from RNAcentral. Lineage: Bacteria; Bacillati; Chloroflexota.
GCCGGGGUGGCGGAACUGGCAGACGCAGCGGACUUAAAAUCCGUUGGCCGCAAGGCCGUGCGGGUUCGACCCCCGCCCUCGGCACCC